Molecule: ribosomal RNA, 801 nt
Filed under: uncultured bacterium
Lineage: Bacteria
Description: bacterial SSU rRNA
Rfam family: Bacterial small subunit ribosomal RNA
Source: RNAcentral
CGAGAAGUUUUCUUCGGAAAGCGAGUAGAGUGGCGCACGGGUGAGUAACGCGUAGGCAAUCUACCCUUAUGACUGGGAUAACAUUGGGAAACUGGUGCUAAUACCGGAUACACUUCUUUACUGCGGGGUAAAGGAGGAAAGGUGGCCUCUUCAUGAAAGCUACCGUAUAGGGAUGAGCCUGCGUACCAUUAGCUAGUAGGCGGGGUAACGGCCCACCUAGGCAACGAUGGUUAGCGGGUCUGAGAGGAUGAUCCGCCACACUGGAACUGGAACACGGACCUGACUCCUACGGGAGGCAGCAGUGAGGAAUAUUGCGCAAUGGGGGAAACCCUGACGCAGCGACGCCGCGUGAGUGAGGAAGGUUUUCGGAUCGUAAAGCUCUGUCAGAAGGGAAGAAGUGUUAUAUGGUUAACACCCAUAUAAUUUGACGGUACCUUCAGAGGAAGCACCGGCUAACUCCGUGCCAGCAGCCGCGGUAAUACGGAGGGUGCAAGCGUUGUUCGGAAUUACUGGGCGUAAAGGGCGCGUAGGCGGCUGGAUAAGUCAGAUGUGAAAGUCCAUGGCUCAACUGUGGAAGUGCAUUUGAAACUGUCCGGCUUGAGUAUCGGAGGGGAGUGUGGAAUUCCCGGUGUAGAGGUGAAAUUCGUAGAGAUCGGGAGGAACACCGGUGGCGAAGGCGACACUCUGGACGAAUACUGACGCUGAGGCGCGAAAGCGUGGGGAGCAAACAGGAUUAGAUACCCUGGUAGUCCACGCCGUAAACGAUGUGAACUAGGGAUAGGGGGUGUUGAUCCCUCCUGU